This 219-nucleotide unclassified non-coding RNA is filed under the name Hevea brasiliensis (rubber tree). The record is from RNAcentral. Lineage: Eukaryota; Viridiplantae; Streptophyta; Magnoliopsida; Malpighiales; Euphorbiaceae.
AUCUUAUUACGUGGAUUAUCCUUUGCACAAAAAGUUUAGAUGAUUUCUACUUGUUAAUUCAUAGAACCCCAUAAUGAAUUGGUAUAUGAAUGAGACCUUGAAGGCGAGAUCUAUCUGAGAAAACAUAGGCAAACGAGUCUCCAAUGAUAAAGGUACAUGAACAUUCAUUUGAAUACGUACAUGAAUAUCAAUUUGAUUAUUGAAUGCUUAAUGUAGGGG